GCCGGGUGUGGUGACGUGCACCUGUAGUCCCAGCUACUCAGGAGGCUGAGGCAGGAGAAUUGCUUGAACCCAGGAGGCAGAGGUUGCAGUGAGCGGAGAUCAUGCCACUGCACUCCAGCCUGGGCGACAGAGCAAGACUCUGUCUCUA
Molecule: unclassified non-coding RNA, 148 nt
Organism: Papio anubis (olive baboon)
Lineage: Eukaryota; Metazoa; Chordata; Mammalia; Primates; Cercopithecidae
Rfam family: Metazoan signal recognition particle RNA
About the family: The signal recognition particle (SRP) is a universally conserved ribonucleoprotein.
Source: Ensembl